Molecule: ribosomal RNA, 253 nt
Filed under: uncultured bacterium
Lineage: Bacteria
Description: partial 16S ribosomal RNA
Rfam family: Bacterial small subunit ribosomal RNA
Source: RNAcentral
UACGUAGGGUCCGAGCGUUGUCCGGAAUUAUUGGGCGUAAAGGGCUCGUAGGCGGUCUGUUGCGUCGGGAGUGAAAACUUACAGCUUAACUGUGAGCGUGCUUUCGAUACGGGCAGACUUGAGGCAUUCAGGGGAGAACGGAAUUCCUGGUGUAGCGGUGAAAUGCGCAGAUAUCAGGAGGAACACCGGUGGCGAAGGCGGCUCUCUGGACCAGCACUGACACUGAGGCACGAAAGCGUGGGGAGCAAACAGG